Long non-coding RNA from Acanthaster planci (crown-of-thorns starfish), 1811 nucleotides. The record is from RefSeq and is a predicted model, not a curated record. Lineage: Eukaryota; Metazoa; Echinodermata; Asteroidea; Valvatida; Acanthasteridae.
AACGAUAUUCCGUCAUUUAAUCACACGAUGCGGUACCAGUCAAUUUCGCUCGCACACGGAUCGUUCCUUCAUUUUGUCAGUUGAAAUUUGCACAAUAAUAAUAGAUUUCAGCGCUUUAGAUUCCAGCACAUAGCUAGGGAACUAGAGUAAUGAUUACUUUUUACAAUGAAAUGGACAGUGUGUCCGGGACAGGUCGGUUUUGUCCCAAAAUUGAAUAAUUAUUUCGGAGGUGUGACCACGCGGUCGUCCGCUUCCGCGUUGUUUACCCGUACGUUGAACGUUACACAUUGCGCGUUUGGGCGCUGGGCCAUUGCAUCGAAUGAUGCGAAAGAGCUGGUUGCAUUCAACGUUCAUCAUGUUCACCGAUGACUGAAAACACAUAUCGAGAAAGGACUGCACCUGGGAACAUGUUCCUGCAUAUUUCUGGAGUUGUUGCGAUGUGAUGCCUUUGCAUGAUGGACAUCAGCUUUUGCAGCUCCCCACGCAUUCCCUGAACAACUCUCCCAGUUCGAUUGAAUUCUGUGUGAAUGAGUUCCCCGCCUUGUUCAUUAAGUAAACCAAAUCCAACUUUGAAGCGCUUGAGUUGCUCUGUUGCAUGGUCUUCUACAAAUUUGAGGAGAAGCUCCUGAAAAUUGAUCCCGAUUUGAGCAGCCUCACGACGAAGCCUCUCAUGAGCUCCUAGGGGCAGGUCAUCAGUUAGGUUUUUUUCAACAACCUCCAGGGGUACUGCUGUUAGUGCUUUAAUGACUUGAGGCUGGAAGAAGGGGAAAAGCGGUAAAUGUACACGUUCAUGUAGGUAAGGAUUGUAAAAAUACAGAACAGAGCAAAUACACAAUUGUAACAAAAUAAAGUAGCAGAUUUUCUGCCCAUACAUCUGGAGAAUUAUCCUAGUUGUUUGAUGACCAAGUUUGCUCUUUAUGCUUUUACCUCACAGCAUUUGUGCACAUGGUUGCCAACAAAUGAUUUGCCAUGAUAUGCCUGUCGUUGCACAUGGUGUUGUUGGAGGACUUUGUCCAGAGAGCUGGCAACUGAACCCGUAGCAAAAGGAAUUUUGGAAGUCUCCGACUGCUUCUCCUGUAAGAAUUGAGCAGUGACAGCAGCAACUCGUAGUUGGAACAACUGCACAUCAAGACCAUGGCAAGCAUUUUCGAACUCAUCGAACAGCUUCUUGAAGACCCCCAGGGAGAUGUGUAAUGUGGGAAGAAUUACCUGGAUUCAGGAAAUAAUGGUUACCAGCUGUCACUGCAUCCAUGUGCCUAGUCAAGAUGUGCGUGCCCCUGAUAAAGAAGCAAGGCUGAUUCGGUGAAAUUCGUCAUGGGGAGAAAGUAAGAAGGAAAUCAUGCUUACUGCCACUUGAAAGAUCCAAGCUUUGCAAUCUGGUCAAAAGUAAUCCAGUACCAUCUUGCUGAGGUCAUGCACAUAUGCAAAUGGAACAGCUCGAGUUUCAAGCCCAUUCACUCCAUCAGCUUUCUCACUGUUGAACACAAGCUGGGUCCAUGCAAGAUGACAAUCACGCAUCAUGAUGAGUGACGUCUCAGCUGUCAAGGGCUUCUGCUUGGCUGCUUCUGGGGAUUCACAUGGCUUUUUGGAUGUGACCUUUUGGAUGUAGGCAGGCUGUUUAAAGAGAGAAAUGUGGCUACUUUCAGUUAAAGUGUUGAGAACAUGUUGGCUAAAGUUGUAUUAUUUUGUAAAGUGGCACAGCUUUGUAUUUAUUUUGUUCACUUAAUUAAAUUCAUGUAACUGAAAUUUAUAUGUCUUUGUUGAGCUACAUGGAUAGUUGUAAAUAAAAAUAUGCAGUUUUAAGGAGCUUA